CCCUUAGAUGUCCUGGGCCGCACGCGCGCUACACUGAUGCAUUCAACGAGUAAUUAUUCCUUGGCCGAGAGGCCUGGGUAAUCUUUUAAACGUGCAUCGUGAUAGGGAUAGAUUAUUGCAAUUAUUAAUCUUGAACGAGGAAUUCCUAGUAAACGCAGAUCAUCAAUCUGCAUUGAUUACGUCCCUGCCCUUUGUACACACCGCCCGUCGCUCCUACCGAUUGAGUGGUCCGGUGAGGCUUUGGGAUCUGAGCGGAAAGAGCGUUUCGCUGUUUCUGCUCGGAAAACUCAGUCGAACCUUAUCAUUUAGAGGAAGGAGAAGUCGUAACA
RNAcentral lists this ribosomal RNA (329 nucleotides) under uncultured eukaryote. RNAcentral's name for it is "partial 18S ribosomal RNA". It matches the Rfam family "Eukaryotic small subunit ribosomal RNA", at positions 1470 to 1796 of the family's 1831-position model. The record is from RNAcentral.